AAAGUGCUAGGAUUAUAGGCGUGAGCCACCACCCUGGCCUGAGGCUGCAUGUGGAGUCUGAAGCCUGGAGUGCCUCUUGUGGCUGCUUCUCAGUGGGGUGCCAUAGAAGGGUUUUGGGAUAGGAACAGCUGGUGUGUUGGAAGGGCUCUGGGCUCAAAUGGAGGAUGACAGGACAGGGCGAGGCCCAAGUCAGGGAGGCCCAGGAGCAGGCUGUUGGAGGAGUCUCGGCCGGGCCUGCUGUGGUUCUGUAACUUCAGCUCAGCCCUGGCUCAGCCAGCCCAGGCUCCUCCAAGACCUCCCCCCUGCAGACUCUGGAGGGCUGUCUUCUCAUAAGUGCUUGGGACGCUUCCUGCCUUCCCACCCUUCCUUUCAGACCCACUUCCUGCUUGGCCUCCAAGCCUAUUCUUCCUCUUACCUUCUCCCAUUAUCUCUGACUUCAGAAUGUUUGCUUUGGCUCCCACUGUCUCCCCUCUGCUCUCUCCUGCGGUUAGUGUUGGAUACUCAGCAAAAUCUCUCCUUCCUACAAGCCAGGGCAGACCCAUCGGGGCAGGGAUUGUCUUCUUUCUACUUUAAGUAAACGGAAUUGGAGCAACCUUGGCCUUGGAAGACAGAUUUUGUCUUCUAACGACUUUCCUUCAAAACCACAAAUGCAUUUUGUCUCGAUUUGAGGUGGUUCUUGCCUCUCAUCUCAGCAACCUCAGGGUGAGCAUGAAGCAGCCUCUGGCAGCCUGACGAUUUCACAGCGGAUGCUGCGCUUUUGUGAAAAGUCGAUUUCUCUGCAAACCAGCCGAGAGGGCAAAGAGUGCGGUGUUCCUUCCAUUCAACAGAUCUCUAUGAGCCAGGCCUCGAGCUGUGUUAUGGGGAGUCACUGAAUAAGGCAUCUGCUCUCCAGGCCCGCAUGGCCUGAUGGAGGAGAUGAACAAGGAGACUGUCCGCAUGAAAGCUUGUACAAAGUACCAUGUGGUCUCAGUGGAGGUGCAACGCCGUCCACGCUGACCUUGCAUGUGCAAAGCAUCAGAGCUGUGCAACCUUGGGCAAGUUAUUGAACCUCCCCCUGCCUCAGUGUCCUCAGCUAUGAAAUAGGCAUAAUGAGAGUUUUUCUCUUCUAGGCUCGAUGUGGGGAUUACAUAAGACACACAGGAAGUGCUUAGCAUAGAAUCUGGACAAGGAAAUGCUCGCUAUUCUCUCUUUUAAAAACUUCUCCUGUGAUCGGGAUUUUCAGGUUCCCCAGUGGGGAUGUGUGG
Long non-coding RNA from Sapajus apella (tufted capuchin), 1244 nucleotides. RefSeq lists it as uncharacterized. The transcript is spliced from 2 exons. Lineage: Eukaryota; Metazoa; Chordata; Mammalia; Primates; Cebidae. The record is from RefSeq and is a predicted model, not a curated record.